RNAcentral lists this ribosomal RNA (775 nucleotides) under uncultured Neocallimastigales. RNAcentral describes it as "partial large subunit ribosomal RNA". It matches the Rfam family "Eukaryotic large subunit ribosomal RNA", at positions 24 to 646 of the family's 3401-position model. Lineage: Eukaryota; Fungi; Neocallimastigomycota; Neocallimastigomycetes; Neocallimastigales. The record is from RNAcentral.
UUAUGUGAUCGUCUCUCGCAUAUCAAUAAGCGGAGGAAAAGAAACUAACAAGGAUUCCCCUAGUAACGGCGAGUGAAGCGGGAAGAGCUCAAAUUUGAAAUCUUAAAGGGUUUCCCUUUACGAAUUGUAGUUUAAAGAAGUGUUUUCUGUUGAGGUUUUGGUAAAAGUUCUUUGGAAUAGGACAUCAUAGAGGGUGAGAAUCCCGUAUUUGACCUUUACUUUCAACUUUGUGAUACACUUUCAAAGAGUCGGAUUGUUUGGGAAUGCAGUCCAGAAUGGGUGGUAAAUUUCAUCUAAAGCUAAAUAUUGGCGAGAGACCGAUAGCGAACAAGUACCGUGAGGGAAAGAUGAAAAGAACUUUGAAAAGAGAGUUAAACAGUACGUGAAAUUGUCAAAAGGGAAGCGUUUGACACCAGUGUUGUUUUUCUGAAAAUCAAUUAAAGAACUGUUUAUGCUAAGUUGUUUAGACUUUAUCAGCUAACUGUUUAGUUUUGAGCUUUUCUUUAAUGCACUUUUCAGUUAACAAGUCAACAUCAAUUUCUUUUGCUGUAAAAAAGCUUGAGGAAGGUGGCUUGAGAUUCGUCUUAAGUGUUUAUAGCCUCUUGCCUAUGCAGUCGGAGAGAUUGAGGUCUGCAGCGUAGAUCCUUCGGGGCUAAAUGCAUUUGUGCUAAGUCAUAGCAUUUUAUAGACAACUUGUUGACUAUGAUUUGUCUUGUAGCUUACUCGCUUAUGUUAUUUUACCUACGCUUAGGAUGUUGACGAGACUGUCGAUCUC